RNAcentral lists this ribosomal RNA (501 nucleotides) under uncultured Actinomycetes bacterium. Its description in RNAcentral is "bacterial SSU rRNA". It matches the Rfam family "Bacterial small subunit ribosomal RNA", at positions 8 to 522 of the family's 1533-position model. The record is from RNAcentral. Lineage: Bacteria; Bacillati; Actinomycetota; Actinomycetes.
AGAGUUUGAUCCUGGCUCAGGACGAACGCUGGCGGCGUGCUUAACACAUGCAAGUCGAACGGUAAGGCCCUUUCGGGGGUACACGAGUGGCGAACGGGUGAGUAACACGUGGGUGAUCUGCCCUGCACUUUGGGAUAAGCCUGGGAAACUGGGUCUAAUACCGAAUAUUCCUUGCUGGUCGCAUGGCCUGGUGGGGGAAAGCUUUUGCGGUGUGGGAUGGGCCCGCGGCCUAUCAGCUUGUUGGUGGGGUGAUGGCCUACCAAGGCGACGACGGGUAGCCGGCCUGAGAGGGUGUCCGGCCACACUGGGACUGAGAUACGGCCCAGACUCCUACGGGAGGCAGCAGUGGGGAAUAUUGCACAAUGGGCGCAAGCCUGAUGCAGCGACGCCGCGUGAGGGAUGACGGCCUUCGGGUUGUAAACCUCUUUCAGUACAGACGAAGCGUGAGUGACGGUAUGUACAGAAGAAGCACCGGCCAACUACGUGCCAGCAGCCGCGGUA